This 240-nucleotide ribosomal RNA is filed under the name Lacunicambarus chimera. Its description in RNAcentral is "partial small subunit ribosomal RNA". Lineage: Eukaryota; Metazoa; Arthropoda; Malacostraca; Decapoda; Cambaridae. The record is from RNAcentral.
AGUUAUGUUCUUUAAAUUUAAAAAAUUUGGCGGUGUUUUARUCUAGUUAGAGGAACCUGUGUUAURAACGAUACUACACGUAUUAUUUUACUUAUUUUAGUAGAUCAGCUKGUAUACCGUCMUUAUAAGAUAAUUUAGGAGAGAAUAUUAUUGAGAUCAUAUUMUUGAGUAUAUUAGAUCAAGGUGCAGCUUAUGGGUAAGUAAACAUGGGUUACAAUMAAAUUUAUUUMAUAUGAAUUA